CGUUUUAUAUUUUAAAUUAAAAUUUUAAAUUGCAAGUUUAAAGAUACCUAUUUAAUGGUUAAGAUGU
This 67-nucleotide transfer RNA is filed under the name Pseudomyrmex flavicornis. RNAcentral describes it as "tRNA-Cys". Lineage: Eukaryota; Metazoa; Arthropoda; Insecta; Hymenoptera; Formicidae. RNAcentral also lists the same sequence under 2 other names. The record is from RNAcentral.